This 464-nucleotide ribosomal RNA is filed under the name uncultured bacterium. RNAcentral's name for it is "bacterial SSU rRNA". It matches the Rfam family "Bacterial small subunit ribosomal RNA", at positions 28 to 492 of the family's 1533-position model. The record is from RNAcentral.
GAUGAACGCUGGCGGCGUGCUUAACACAUGCAAGUCGAACGAAGCACUUUAAUUGAUUUCUUCGGAAUGAAGUUUUUGUGACUGAGUGGCGGACGGGUGAGUAACGCGUGGGCAACCUGCCUCAUACAGGGGGAUAACAGUUGGAAACGACUGCUAAUACCGCAUAAGCGCACAGGAUUGCAUGAUCCAGUGUGAAAAACUCCGGUGGUAUGAGAUGGACCCGCGUCUGAUUAGCUGGUUGGUGAGGUAACGGCCCACCAAGGCGACGAUCAGUAGCCGACCUGAGGGGGUGACCGGCCACAUUGGGACUGAGACACGGCCCAGACUCCUACGGGAGCAGCAGUGGGGAAUAUUGCACAAUGGAGGAAACUCUGAUGCAGCGACGCCGCGUGAGUGAAGAAGUAGUUCGCUAUGUAAAGCUCUAAUCAGCAGGGAAGAUAGUGACGGUACCUGACUAAGAAGCU